GGGAACAAGGGCAUCCUUUCUUUGGUCAAGAGGAAAUGAAAUUUGCAAGUUCAUUAUAACAUGCUUGUCUCAGGAACAUAUUUUAGUGUGAAAUCAAAGGUAGUUGAGUAGCAGUUGUGGUAUAUGGUAAAAAACAAUAAAUCUGAGUUGGAAAAUUAAACAAAAGAAUGAAAAUUUUCUCCUAUUAUUUUAUGUCAUUUAUAUGAUAGAUUAGAAUGUAUUUUCAUUGUGCAUGGUAACGAAGUGUUUUUGUAUUACACAUCAUUGAGUAACG
This 274-nucleotide unclassified non-coding RNA is filed under the name Hevea brasiliensis (rubber tree). Lineage: Eukaryota; Viridiplantae; Streptophyta; Magnoliopsida; Malpighiales; Euphorbiaceae. The record is from RNAcentral.